RNAcentral lists this ribosomal RNA (510 nucleotides) under uncultured bacterium. RNAcentral describes it as "bacterial SSU rRNA". It matches the Rfam family "Bacterial small subunit ribosomal RNA", at positions 19 to 529 of the family's 1533-position model. The record is from RNAcentral.
CUGGCUCAGGAUGAACGCUGGCGGCGUGCCUAACACAUGCAAGUCGAACGGGGUAUAUAAGCGGAAGUUUACGGAUGGAAGGUUAUAUACUUAGUGGCGGACGGGUGAGUAACGCGUGGGCAACCUGCCCCGUGCCGGGGGAUACCGCCUGGAAACAGGCGCUAAUACCGCAUAAGCGCAUACAGCCGCAUGGGUGUAUGCGGAAAGCUCCGGCGGCACGGGAUGGGCCCGCGCCCGAUUAGCCAGUUGGCGGGGUAACGGCCCACCAAAGCGACGAUCGGUAGCCGGCCUGAGAGGGCGGACGGCCACAUUGGGACUGAGACACGGCCCAAACUCCUACGGGAGGCAGCAGUGGGGAAUAUUGCACAAUGGGGGAAACCCUGAUGCAGCAACGCCGCGUGGGUGAAGGAGCGUUUCGGCGCGUAAAGCCCUGUCAGCGGGGAAGAAGAAAGACGGUACCCGACCAAGAAGCCCCGGCUAACUACGUGCCAGCAGCCGCGGUAAUACGUA